RNAcentral lists this ribosomal RNA (541 nucleotides) under Papiliotrema terrestris. Its description in RNAcentral is "eukaryotic LSU rRNA". It matches the Rfam family "Eukaryotic large subunit ribosomal RNA", at positions 119 to 649 of the family's 3401-position model. Lineage: Eukaryota; Fungi; Basidiomycota; Tremellomycetes; Tremellales; Rhynchogastremaceae. The record is from RNAcentral.
AAUCUGGCGUGCUCAGUGCGUCCGAGUUGUAAUCUAUAGAGGCGUUUUCCGUGCCGGACUGUGUCUAAGUCCCUUGGAACAGGGUAUCAAAGAGGGUGAUAAUCCCGUACUUGACACAAUGACCGGUGCUCUGUGAUACGUCUUCUACGAGUCGAGUUGUUUGGGAAUGCAGCUCAAAAUGGGUGGUGAGUUCCAUCUAAAGCUAAAUAUUGGCGAGAGACCGAUAGCGAACAAGUACCGUGAGGGAAAGAUGAAAAGCACUUUGGAAAGAGAGUUAAACAGUACGUGAAAUUGUUGAAAGGGAAACGAUUGAAGUCAGUCGUGACUGAGAGGCUCAGCCGGUUCUGCCGGUGUAUUCCCCUCAGUCGGGUCAACAUCAGUUUUGUUCGGUGGAUAAGGGCAGCUGGAAGGUGGCACCUCCGGGUGUGUUAUAGCCAGCUGUCGCAUACAUCGAAUGAGACUGAGGAAUGCAGCUCGCCUUUAUGGCCGGGGUUCGCCCACGUCCGAGCUUAGGAUGUUGACAUAAUGGCUUUAAACGACC